RNAcentral lists this ribosomal RNA (449 nucleotides) under uncultured bacterium. Its description in RNAcentral is "bacterial SSU rRNA". It matches the Rfam family "Bacterial small subunit ribosomal RNA", at positions 28 to 507 of the family's 1533-position model. The record is from RNAcentral.
GAUGAACGCUGGCGGCGUGCCUAACACAUGCAAGUCGAACGGAAACAGAUCUAGUUUACUAGAUGCUGUCGAGUGGCGGACGGCUGAGUAACGCGUGGAACGUGCCCCAAAGUGAGGGAUAACGCACCGAAAGGUGUGCUAAUACCGCAUAUGGUCUUCGGAUUAAAGAAUUUAUUCGCUUUGGGAGCGGCCUGCGUCGGAUUAGGUUGUUGGUGAGGUAAUGGCUCACCAAGCCGACGAUCCGUAGCUGGUCUGAGAGGAUGACCAGCCAGACUGGAACUGAGACACGGUCCAGACUCCUACGGGAGGCAGCAGUGAGGAAUCUUCCACAAUGGGCGAAAGCCUGAUGGAGCAACGCCGCGUGCAGGAUGAAGGCCUUCGGGUUGUAAACUGCUUUAUAAGUGAGGAAUAUGACGGUAACUUAUGAAUAAGGAUCGGCUAACUACGUG